AUUGAACGCUGGCGGCAUGCCUUACACAUGCAAGUCGAACGGCAGCACGGGAGCAAUCCUGGUGGCGAGUGGCGAACGGGUGAGUAAUAUAUCGGAACGUGCCCAGUCGUGGGGGAUAACGUGGCGAAAGCUACGCUAAUACCGCAUACGAUCUAUGGAUGAAAGCGGGGGAUCGCAAGACCUCGCGCGAUUGGAGCGGCCGAUAUCAGAUUAGGUAGUUGGUGAGGUAAAGGCUCACCAAGCCGACGAUCUGUAGCUGGUCUGAGAGGACGACCAGCCACACUGGGACUGAGACACGGCCCAGACUCCUACGGGAGGCAGCAGUGGGAAUUUUGGACAAUGGGCGCAAGCCUGAUCCAGCAAUGCCGCGUGCAGGAUGAAGGCCUUCGGGUUGUAAACUGCUUUGUACGGAACGAAACGGUGAGCUCUAAUACAGUUUGCUAAUGACGGUACCGUAAGAAUAAGCACCGGCUAACUACGUG
RNAcentral lists this ribosomal RNA (482 nucleotides) under uncultured bacterium. RNAcentral's name for it is "bacterial SSU rRNA". It matches the Rfam family "Bacterial small subunit ribosomal RNA", at positions 30 to 507 of the family's 1533-position model. The record is from RNAcentral.